Molecule: ribosomal RNA, 265 nt
Filed under: uncultured prokaryote
Description: partial 16S ribosomal RNA
Rfam family: Bacterial small subunit ribosomal RNA
Source: RNAcentral
UACGGAGGAUCCGAGCGUUAUCCGGAUUUAUUGGGUUUAAAGGGUGCGCAGGCGGGAGAUUAAGUCGGCGGUGAAAUUUUGCAGCUCAACUGUAAAAGUGCCUUCGAUACUGGUUUCCUUGAGUGUGGAUGAAGUAGGCGGAAUUUGUGGUGUAGCGGUGAAAUGCUUAGAUAUUACACAGAACACCGAUUGCGAAGGCAGCUUACUAAUCCAUCAUUGACGCUGAGGCACGAAAGCGUGGGGAUCAAACAGGAUUAGAUACCCU